ACUACGGGUGGCAGCAGUGGGGAAUAUUGCGCAAUGGGCGAAAGCCUGACGCAGCGACGCCGCGUGAGGGAUGAAGGUCUUCGGAUCGUAAACCUCUGUCAGCAGGGAAGAACGGUCACUGUGCUAAUCAGCAGUGAAUUGACGGUACCUGCAUAGGAAGCACCGGCUAACUCCGUGCCAGCAGCCGCGGUAAUACGGGGGGUGCGAGCGUUAAUCGGAAUUACGGGGCGUAAAGCGCUCGUAGGCGGUAUGGUAAGUCAAUGGUGAAAUCCCCGCGCUCAACGUGGGAACUGCCGUUGAAACUGGAAAACUGGAGUGUGUGAGAGGAUAGUGGAAUUCCAGGUGUAGGAGUGAAAGCCGUAGAUAUCUGGAGGAACAUCAGUGGCGAAGGCGACUAUCUGGCACAUAACUGACGCUGAGGAGCGAAAGCGUGGGUAGCAAACAGGAUUAGAUACCCCUGUAGUC
Molecule: ribosomal RNA, 465 nt
Filed under: uncultured bacterium
Lineage: Bacteria
Description: partial 16S ribosomal RNA
Rfam family: Bacterial small subunit ribosomal RNA
Source: RNAcentral